AGCUCCAAUAGCGUAUAUUAAAGUUGCUGCAGUUAAAAAGCUCGUAGUUGGAUCUGGCGUACGGGCUCGAGGUCCGCCGCGUGGCGGUUACUUCCUGUCCCGACGUACCUCUCGGCUUUCCCUCGGUGCUCUUAACUGAGUGUCUUGGGUUACCGGACUGUUUACUUUGAAAAAAUUAGAGUGUUCAAAGCAGGCGCAGUGCCUGCAUAGUGGUGCAUGGAAUAAUGGAACAAGACCUCGGUUCUAUUUUGUUGGUUUCCGGAACGCGAGGUAAUGAUUAAGAGGGACUGCCGGGGGCAUCCGUAUUGCUGCGUUAGAGGUGAAAUUCUUGGAUCGCAGCAAGACGAACUACUGCGAAAGCAUUUGCCAAGAAUGUUUUCA
This 381-nucleotide ribosomal RNA is filed under the name uncultured eukaryote. Its description in RNAcentral is "SSU rRNA". It matches the Rfam family "Eukaryotic small subunit ribosomal RNA", at positions 587 to 972 of the family's 1831-position model. The record is from RNAcentral.